RNAcentral lists this RNase P RNA (395 nucleotides) under Kiritimatiellia bacterium. RNAcentral's name for it is "RNase P RNA component class A". It matches the Rfam family "Bacterial RNase P class A". Rfam says of the family: Ribonuclease P (RNase P) is a ubiquitous endoribonuclease, found in archaea, bacteria and eukarya as well as chloroplasts and mitochondria. Its best characterised activity is the generation of mature 5'-ends of tRNAs by cleaving the 5'-leader elements of precursor-tRNAs. The record is from RNAcentral. Lineage: Bacteria; Pseudomonadati; Kiritimatiellota; Kiritimatiellia.
GCUGCAGGGUGACCGGUCGCUCUUGUUCUCUUUGGAGUGCGAGAGAGGAAAGUCCGGACUCCACAGGGCAGGGCGUCCAGAAUGGAAACAUUCGGGAGCGGUGCGGUAAACCGCAUUGACGGAAAGUGCCACAGAAAACAUACCGCCAUCCGGAUUCCGGAAGGUAAGGGUGAAAAGGGGGUGUAAGAGACCACCGUUUUGCAUCGCGAGGUGCAGAGCAAGGCAAACCCCGCCCGGAGCAAGAUCGAAUAGGAGGUCUGAAGCGGCCCGUUUCCUCCCGCGAUUGCGGGGGACCGCAAGCUUUGCUUGCGGAAGACCUCGGGUUGAUCGCAUAGAUAAAUGACUGGCUGCCGUUGGCAGGAACAGAAUCCGGCUUACUGCACCUUGCAGCUCAC